UCAGACAUGGUGUAGCGGUAACACGGUUUCGCUUUCUCAAAAAUUCAAUCGAAGUCUGAAGUAGUCUCCGGUUCGAAUCCCGGUGUCUGAA
Non-coding RNA from Mycena crocata, 91 nucleotides. Lineage: Eukaryota; Fungi; Basidiomycota; Agaricomycetes; Agaricales; Mycenaceae. The record is from the annotation of a GenBank genome assembly.